This 500-nucleotide ribosomal RNA is filed under the name uncultured bacterium. RNAcentral describes it as "partial 16S ribosomal RNA". It matches the Rfam family "Bacterial small subunit ribosomal RNA", at positions 30 to 523 of the family's 1533-position model. The record is from RNAcentral.
AUUGAACGCUGGCGGCAUGCCUUACACAUGCAAGUCGAACGGCAGCACGGGAGCAAUCCUGGUGGCGAGUGGCGAACGGGUGAGUAAUGUAUCGGAACGUGCCCAGUCGUGGGGGAUAACGCAGCGAAAGCUGUGCUAAUACCGCAUACGAUCUAUGGAUGAAAGCGGGGGAUCGCAAGACCUCGCGCGAUUGGAGCGGCCUAUACCGGAUUAGGUAGUUGGUGGGGUAAAGGCCCACCAAGCCGACGAUCGGUGGCUGGUCUGAGGGGACGAGCAGCCACACUGGAACUGAGACGCGGUCCAGACUCCUACGGGAGGCAGCAGUGGGGAAUUUUGGACAAUGGGCGCAAGCCUGAUCCAGCAAUGCCGCGUGCAGGAUGAAGGCCUUCGGGUUGUAAACUGCUUUUGUACGGAACGAAACGGUUCUCUCUAAUACAGGGGGCUAAUGACGGUACCGUAAGAAUAAGCACCGGCUAACUACGUGCCAGCAGCCGCCGUAA